CGGCGGGUUGGGGGGCGGCAUGGUAAGCGCGGGGUUCGGAUCUGUGGCUGGCGCCGUCGUCGGCGCCGAGCUCGGCUCCCGGCUUGCCGAC
Molecule: transfer RNA, 91 nt
Filed under: Achromobacter anxifer
Lineage: Bacteria; Pseudomonadati; Pseudomonadota; Betaproteobacteria; Burkholderiales; Alcaligenaceae
Description: tRNA-Arg
Source: RNAcentral